Molecule: ribosomal RNA, 254 nt
Filed under: uncultured bacterium
Lineage: Bacteria
Description: partial 16S ribosomal RNA
Rfam family: Bacterial small subunit ribosomal RNA
Source: RNAcentral
UACGGGGGGGGCAAGCGUUGUUCGGAAUUACUGGGCGUAAAGGGCCAGUAGGCGGCCAACUAAGUCGGGUGUGAAACCUCCAGGCUCAACCUGGAGACGCCACUCGAUACUGGCGUGACUAGAGUUCGGUAGGGGAUCACGGAAUUCCUGGUGUAGCGGUGAAAUGCGCAGAUAUCAGGAGGAACACCGGUGGCGAAGGCGGUGAUCUGGGCCGACACUGACGCUGUAGAGCGAAAGCGUGGGGAGCGAACAGG